GGGGGCGUUAAGGUUUCGACGGGAUUGUUGAAACUAGAGAAGCGGGUAGUGGAUUCUCGUUGGCCACUUAAAAAAACGAGAAACUUGAAUUAAACGCUAACGAUAAUUUAGCUUACGCUGCUUAAUUAAAGCAGCCGUCCUGCCUGGGAGGACCACGGCCUGGGAUAGGGCGUCGACAGUGGUGAACGUGACACGGCAAAGCUUUGAGUUGUGCAUGACAAAUGAAGCUACUGAAGUUGCAAGCCUGUUCAUGGGCGUGCAGCAGAGGGAAUGAAAAAAACAUGAACUGCACCCGGAGAUGCUCUUGUGAAUACGGUUUCGGACGCGGGUUCGAUUCCCGCCGCCUCCACCA
Molecule: transfer-messenger RNA, 352 nt
Filed under: Clostridia
Lineage: Bacteria; Bacillati; Bacillota
Also listed under: 1 other name
Description: DTU059 sp012839205 Standard tmRNA
Rfam family: transfer-messenger RNA
About the family: Bacterial tmRNA, also known as 10Sa RNA or SsrA, is named for its dual tRNA and mRNA-like properties.
Source: RNAcentral